Molecule: long non-coding RNA, 1894 nt
Organism: Papaver somniferum (opium poppy)
Lineage: Eukaryota; Viridiplantae; Streptophyta; Magnoliopsida; Ranunculales; Papaveraceae
Exons: 2
Source: RefSeq, a predicted model, not a curated record
UCUUCUUAGAGCUCCAUGAGAUCCUCUCCAAUGGAAAUCUUGUAACACCAAUAAACAUAGUGAAAUCCGUGGAUGUAGGUCUCAAGAGACCGAACCACGUAAAAAGAUCUGUGCCUCCUUUACUUUCAUGUUCUUUUAUCUUCUUUUAUGUAUGUUUUGAUGGUUAAGAUCAUCAUGGGUGUAGGCAUCAGAAAAGAUGCAACUACAUUUUGGCGCUAGAAACAGGACUAGAGUGAUGGAUUUAUCCAACCUAGUCCCUUAGAAGAUCAAUACUUCACUACCAGCAAGUUCUGUAAGAGAUCCAAUAGAGAUCCAGUUGAUACAAGAGUUUCAGGAGUAUUCUUGUCAAGGAAACAAGAGCUUCAGACAACAAAGUGUCUUGUCCGAUUCCAAACGAAGCUUCAGAUCCAGUUCAGACUCGGGCGAUUCAAGUGCUUCAAGGAUUUACUGGUAAUCGAUGAUAGAAGAAACUACGUCGGAAUCGGAGAAGCAACAGCAAAAAGUCACUCGGAGAAGAGAGCUUCAAAGCUACGUAGUGCUGGCCAAUUAAAGUCAUUCACCAAUUCUCAUCGGAAGGAUACACCAGUUCAUCUCCGAGUACCAACCAGAGCAACCAGAGCCCGGACUCAAACUGAUGAGUUUGGAGAAAAGACCAUCUGCAAAAUCGCAUUGGAGCAGUUCGCAACUACUCACCUCGAGACCAUCUCGUGAAGAACCAGCGAUCCAAUCUCGGACUCGCUCCAUAUCGGACAGCUCAACCAAGAGCACCAAUCUCGGAUGUCUCACUAUCUUAGCCUGAUUUUGGGCCUUUUUCUUCACUCUCCCUUCUUACUGCUUUACAUAGCAAUUUCAGAACGAGUUCAUUGAGCUUACUCACUUGAAUGAUUUGCUGUUACAGAAAAACGCUGAUGGACGAAAUCACAUCGGAAUCACCAGCUCGUGUUCAACUCGAGACCAACUCGCGGAGAAAUAACCAGCACAAUAGGAGCCAACCAGAGCUCGGACUCAUCAUUCUCAGACCACAGGCGAGGACAGAGUCAACCAACACGAUGAUGUUUAACCGAGUUCCAAUCUCGGACUCAAUCCAUAUCGGACAGCCCAAAUGGGAGCACGAUGGAGUCCAACCCAUAUCGUACCAGAGGCAACACGAUUAAGGUCGUGAAGAAGCAAUCGGAAGAAGCCAGAGCUCGGACAGCUCAUUUGCAACAAUCAUCUCGUACUGGAAAAGUAACCAUCACGAAGGGAGCCAGUCAGAGCAUGUUCUCGGACUCACCAGCCAUCUCGGACAGAUCCCAACUAGGAGAAACGAUCAACACGAUCGGAUAAAGAGCACGAACUCGGACUCAUCAGUUCAUCCCCGAGCACCAAUCUCGGACAGGCAAUCAACAGGGCAACCAGAGCAUGCACUCGGAUUGCACCUCGACAGUCGACACCAUACCAGGAGCACGAACUCGGACUCAUCAGUCCAUCUCCGAGCAGCAACUCGGACAACAUACCUUUUUUACCUUAUCUAAUAAUUAGUCUUUUGGUUUACGAUAGCUAAAUGACUGAUUCCUAUAUACUUAAAUAAUUGUUCAUUGAAUCAAAAUAAUUUUGAUAAAUUCCAUGAACAGCAGGUGAACGAUAAUAUACUCCACAAAGGCAUUCUUCAAUGUAAUCUAUCUUAGAUGGUUCAGCCAUGCUCGCCAGGCUUAUCUCGGAGCAACCAUCUCGUACUGGCAAAGCAAUCGUCACACUGGAGUUCAACCCAUAUCGUACUAGAGGCGAUGUCGGGCACAUCAGUGCAUCUCCAAGCAUUAUUAGGACAACAUUCCUUCCCAUAUCUCUUGAUUUCACACUUGACAUGCCAUAAUGUGCAGUCCUUUGAUUAAUGGCUAAAUGCUUACUAUCUAAA